Molecule: ribosomal RNA, 302 nt
Filed under: uncultured bacterium
Lineage: Bacteria
Description: partial 16S ribosomal RNA
Rfam family: Bacterial small subunit ribosomal RNA
Source: RNAcentral
GCAGUCGCCGCGGGAAUACAGAGGGUGCGAGCGUUAAUCGGAUUUACUGGGCGUAAAGCGUGCGUAGGCGGCUUUUUAAGUCGGAUGUGAAAUCCCUGAGCUUAACUUAGGAAUUGCAUUCGAUACUGGGAAGCUAGAGUAUGGGAGAGGAUGGUAGAAUUCCAGGUGUAGCGGUGAAAUGCGUAGAGAUCUGGAGGAAUACCGAUGGCGAAGGCAGCCAUCUGGCCUAAUACUGACGCUGAGGUACGAAAGCAUGGGGAGCAAACAGGAUUAGAUACCCGGGUAGUCCCUGUCUCUUAUAC